CGCGGGGGCAACCCUGGCGACGAGCGGCGGACGGGUGAGUAACGCUUGGGAAUCUGCCUGUUAGUGGGGGACAACCCGGGGAAACUCGGGCUAAUACCGCAUACGCACUACGGUGGAAAGCCGGGGACCGCAAGGCCUGGCGCUAACAGAUGAGCCCAAGUCGGAUUAGCUAGUUGGUAGGGUAACGGCCUACCAAGGCGACGAUCCGUAACUGGUCUGAGAGGACGACCAGUCACACCGGAACUGAGACACGGUCCGGACUCCUACGGGAGGCGGCAGUGGGGAAUAUUGGACAAUGGGCGAAAGCCUGAUCCAGCGACGCCGCGUGGGUGAAGAAGGCCUGCGGGUUGUAAAGCCCUUUCAGUGGGGAAGAAAAGCCUCGACCUAACACGUCGGGGUCUUGACGUAACCCAUAGAAGAAGCACCGGCUAACUCUGUGCCAGCAGCCGCGGUAAUACAGAGGGUGCGAGCGUUAAUCGGAAUUACUGGGCGUAAAGCGCGCGUAGGCGGCAUUGCAAGUCGGGUGUGAAAUCCCCGGGCUCAACCUGGGAACUGCAUCCGAGACUGCAUAGCUGAGUAUGGGAGAGGGAAGUGGAAUUUCCGGUGUAGCGGUGAAAUGCGUAGAUAUCGGAAGGAACAUCAGUGGCGAAAGCGACUUCCUGGACCAAUACUGACGCUCAUGUGCGAAAGCGUGGGGAGCAAACAGGAUUAGAUACCCUGGUAGUCCACGCCAUAAACGAUGAGAACUAGAUGUCGGGAGGGUCUGCCUCUCGGUGUCGUAGCUAACGCGUUAA
Molecule: ribosomal RNA, 794 nt
Filed under: uncultured Gammaproteobacteria bacterium
Lineage: Bacteria; Pseudomonadati; Pseudomonadota; Gammaproteobacteria
Description: bacterial SSU rRNA
Rfam family: Bacterial small subunit ribosomal RNA
Source: RNAcentral